GACGAACGCUGGCGGCGUGCCUAAUACAUGCAAGUAGAACGCUGAAGAGAGGAGCUUGCUCUUCUUGGAUGAGUUGCGAACGGGUGAGUAACGCGUAGGUAACCUGCCUGAUAGCGGGGGAUAACUAUUGGAAACGAUAGCUAAUACCGCAUAAAAUUGAUUAUUGCAUGAUAAUUAAUUGAAAGAUGCAAUUGCAUCACUACCAGAUGGACCUGCGUUGUAUUAGCUAGUUGGUGAGGUAACGGCUCACCAAGGCGACGAUACAUAGCCGACCUGAGAGGGUGAUCGGCCACACUGGGACUGAGACACGGCCCAGACUCCUACGGGAGGCAGCAGUAGGGAAUCUUCGGCAAUGGGGGGAACCCUGACCGAGCAACGCCGCGUGAGUGAAGAAGGUUUUCGGAUCGUAAAGCUCUGUUGUAAGAGAAGAACGGGUGUGAGAGUGGAAAGUUCACACUGUGACGGUAUCUUACCAGAAAGGGACGGCUAACUACGUGCCAGCAGCCGCGGUAAUACGUAGGUCCCGAGCGUUGUCCGGAUUUAUUGGGCGUAAAGCGAGCGCAGGCGGUUAGAUAAGUCUGAAGUUAAAGGCUGUGGCUUAACCAUAGUAUGCUUUGGAAACUGUUUAACUUGAGUGCAGAAGGGGAGAGUGGAAUUCCAUGUGUAGCGGUGAAAUGCGUAGAUAUAUGGAGGAACACCGGUGGCGAAAGCGGCUCUCUGGUCUGUAACUGACGCUGAGGCUCGAAAGCGUGGGGAGCAAACAGGAUUAGAUACCCUGGUAGUCCACGCCGUAAACGAUGAGUGCUAGGUGUUAGGCCCUUUCCGGGGCUUAGUGCCGCAGCUAACGCAUUAAGCACUCCGCCUGGGGAGUACGACCGCAAGGUUGAAACUCAAAGGAAUUGACGGGGGCCCGCACAAGCGGUGGAGCAUGUGGUUUAAUUCGAAGCAACGCGAAGAGCCUUACCAGGUCUUGACAUCCCUCUGACCGCUCUAGAGAUAGAGUUUUCCUUCGGGACAGAGGUGACAGGUGGUGCAUGGUUGUCGUCAGCUCGUGUCGUGAGAUGUAGGGUUAAGUCCCGCAACGAGCGCAACCCCUAUUGUUAGUUGCCAUCAUUGAGUUGGGCACUCUAGCGAGACUGCCGGUAAUAAACCGGAGGAAGGUGGGGAUGACGUCAAAUCAUCAUGCCCCUUAUGACCUGGGCUACACACGUGCUACAAUGGCUGGUACAACGAGUCGCAAGCCGGUGACGGCAAGCUAAUCUCUGAAAGCCAGUCUCAGUUCGGAUUGUAGGCUGCAACUCGCCUACAUGAAGUCGGAAUCGCUAGUAAUCGCGGAUCAGCACGCCGCGGUGAAUACGUUCCCGGGCCU
This 1369-nucleotide ribosomal RNA is filed under the name uncultured bacterium. RNAcentral describes it as "bacterial SSU rRNA". It matches the Rfam family "Bacterial small subunit ribosomal RNA", at positions 28 to 1381 of the family's 1533-position model. The record is from RNAcentral.